AAUCAACGCUGGCGGCGUGCCUCAGACAUGCAAGUCGAACGAUUAAAGCUCUCUUCGGAGAGUGUAUAGAGUGGCGCACGGGUGAGUAACACGUAAGUAAUCUACCCUCGAGUGGGGAAUAACGUCCGGAAACGGACGCUAAUACCGCAUAAUGCAGCGGCACCGCAAGGUGACAGUUGUUAAAGGAGAAAUUCGCUUGAGGAGGAGCUUGCGGCAGAUUAGCUUGNGGUAAGGUAACGGCUUACCAAGGCUACGAUCUGUAACCGGUCUUAGAGGACGGUCGGUCACACUGACACUGAAUAACGGGUCAGACUCCUACGGGAGGCAGCAGUCGGGAAUUUUGGGCAAUGGGCGAAAGCCUGACCCAGCAACGCCGCGUAGAAGGAUGAAGUAUUUCGGUAUGUAAACUUCGAAAGAAUAGGAAGAAUAAAUGACGGUACUAUUUAUAAGGUCCGG
RNAcentral lists this ribosomal RNA (456 nucleotides) under uncultured bacterium. Its description in RNAcentral is "bacterial SSU rRNA". It matches the Rfam family "Bacterial small subunit ribosomal RNA", at positions 32 to 496 of the family's 1533-position model. The record is from RNAcentral.